RNAcentral lists this ribosomal RNA (425 nucleotides) under uncultured bacterium. Its description in RNAcentral is "partial 16S ribosomal RNA". It matches the Rfam family "Bacterial small subunit ribosomal RNA", at positions 354 to 796 of the family's 1533-position model. The record is from RNAcentral.
GUAGGGAAUCUUGCGCAAUGGGCGAAAGCCUGACGCAGCCAUGCCGCGUGAAUGAUGAAGGUCUUAGGAUUGUAAAAUUCUUUCACCGGGGACGAUAAUGACGGUACCCGGAGAAGAAGCCCCGGCUAACUUCGUGCCAGCAGCCGCGGUAAUACGAAGGGGGCUAGCGUUGCUCGGAAUUACUGGGCGUAAAGGGAGCGUAGGCGGAUAGUUUAGUCAGAGGUGAAAGCCCAGGGCUCAACCUUGGAAUUGCCUUUGAUACUGGCUAUCUUGAGGAUGGAAGAGGUAUGUGGAACUCCGAGUGUAGAGGUGAAAUUCGUAGAUAUUCGGAAGAACACCAGUGGCGAAGGCGACUCACUGGCCCGUUACUGACGCUGAGGCGCGAAAGCGUGGGGAGCAAACAGGAUUAGAUACCCGGGUAGUCC